CAAUAUUCGGGUUUUGCUCACUGCUUCAACCUCGUUGUUUCGCUUUGUCGUGUUGUUAAAUCCGGUUUUCUUCAAGUGAAGUAAGGUGGAAAAAGAUCAUUUCUUGAAAUAUAAGGUUUAUCAUAUUAAUUGUGGAAGUUCUUGGCUGGACUGAGCUCUUGAACGACGUAAGGUACAGACGCACAGUUCGGUGAUCCCCCAGUUUAGGAUAUCCCCUUCAGCUGUUUGGAGUGCUCUUCUCAUUUCAGAGCAUACACUUUUGGUAUAUACUUUUGUUCGCUAUGCAUGUAUACAUUUGUUCCGGGGUACGGCGGGGCCCUGUCCCGCCAUAUGAUUCGUUUGGUCUGUUUAGAGGUCUGUAGACUUAUUUGUGGGUGUGUGUGCCUACUUCUGUACAGUUGUGUCCAUAUGAUCUCUUUCGUUAUGGCAGCCUUGUCGGCUCGCACAUGUAUAUGUUGUUUUGUUGGCCCUGUGUGGCCUUUGUUGGUAUUUGCUGUGUACAGGGUUAUUUUGGAUAGUCCGAAAAACAAAGGAAACUCUGCCGAAAUUUUCUUUGAAAAUCUUAUAAAUUUGAAACACCGCCUUGUCGGCUUCUGUUAUAUACCUGGAUGGGUUUGAUAUAAUCUGAGGCAGUGUUUGAUAUUUGUGUCGGUAUAAGUUAUCUGUUUGCCACUCGGAUUUGUGAUU
Long non-coding RNA from Lycium barbarum (goji berry), 687 nucleotides. RefSeq lists it as uncharacterized. The transcript has 3 exons. Lineage: Eukaryota; Viridiplantae; Streptophyta; Magnoliopsida; Solanales; Solanaceae. The record is from RefSeq and is a predicted model, not a curated record.